RNAcentral lists this ribosomal RNA (468 nucleotides) under uncultured bacterium. RNAcentral describes it as "partial 16S ribosomal RNA". It matches the Rfam family "Bacterial small subunit ribosomal RNA", at positions 28 to 507 of the family's 1533-position model. The record is from RNAcentral.
GACGAACGCUGGCGGCGUGCUUAACACAUGCAAGUCGAACGGAAAGGCCCUGCUUUUGUGGGGUGCUCGAGUGGCGAACGGGUGAGUAACACGUGAGUAACCUGCCCUUGACUUUGGGAUAACUUCAGGAAACUGGGGCUAAUACCGGAUAGGAGCUCCUGCUGCAUGGUGGGGGUUGGAAAGUUUCGGCGGUUGGGGAUGGACUCGCGGCUUAUCAGCUUGUUGGUGGGGUAGUGGCUUACCAAGGCUUUGACGGGUAGCCGGCCGGAGGGGGUGACCGGCAACAUUGGGACUGAGAACGGGCCCGGACUCCUAGGGGGGGAAGCAGGGGGGAAUUUUGCACAAGGGGGGGAAGCCUGAUGCAGCAACGCCGCGUGCGGGAUGACGCCCUUCGGGUUGAAAACCGCUUUCGCCUGUGACGAAGCGUGAGUGAGGGUAGUGGGUAAAGAAGCACCGGCUAACUACGUG